CGGACAAGCCCGAGGUUCACGACACACAAAACCACCUUGCCACGACAGAAGCGAGGGUGCAGAGGGACACCUCGUCUGGACCCUGUGUCCCCUGUUCAGCAUCGGGGAGGCCGGCAGACCAGGCACGGAACCCACAGGAGGCAUCCCUUCCCACAUUGCCUUCUCACUUCCUUUCCGCGACAGUAACGCAAGGAGAAAAUCGCAUCGCAGUAGCAUCUGGCUUCUGCCGCGUCAACUAAGCAUUUCUCCAGAACCCUGCGCCCAGCAGGCGGGGCUGAGCUGGAAGCCCCAUGAGUGGACACGUGGUCCUCAGCCCUCUCCGGACGCUCACUUCCUCAAGGCCUGUGGAGGGCAAAGCAGGCGCCUGCGUUUUCUGGCUCCACCUACUUAAGACUCUUCCAGAACCCAUCCUCCUACAGGUGAGGCAACCGGCACACGUCUCCCCAGCGAGCAGGCUCUAAAGCCGACCCCUGAGCUCCCGGCGGGGUUGGGGGACCCUGCUCUCACUGGAGCAAAUGCUCCAGCUAAACUGGCAAAGUCCCCAAGGAUCUGACUUCUGGGGCACCUGUGGAGCAGACACUUUUGUGGAUUGAGCAACUGGCCACAUCCUCGUCCUGCUCUGAACCGUUCCCGGGUUCACACCCCUCCAUGCAGAACAGACUAGAGCAUCGUCACCUGCAGUGCUCAGGUAAGUCCUCCAGAUGCUCUCACAGUCCCAACACAGCAGGCCCUGCCCCAGGGAAACCCACUGCCUGCACUCAACCCCCUGCUUCCCAAACAACUCCCCCACGGAGCCUCUGUGCACAGACGCCACAGGGCCGGCCGUGCCACUCGCCGGGCACUGCUCAGGGCAGAGGGCCAACUCGGGCUGUCAGGUGCACCGGAGGGAGAGCUCAGGGCGCACGCCAGCUGUGGGCAUCCCGGGGGUGUCGGGGGGCGAGACAGAAGGGUCCCAGCGUGAGUGCAUAGGAGCAUCUGGCGGGGAGCCCUGAGGAUGCACAGCAAGAACAGAGAAGAGUGCUGGUGAAGGUGCAGACGCCACGACGAGCUCGAGGACAACGACAAAGGGGCUGCAGCUGAAGUGGAAUCUGCAGGCUCACGGCACUGCAGGCCCAUCUCCCGUGUUCCCACCCCACAGGCGCCGGCCAGACGGACCCCGCCAGACCCACUGCUGCACAGAGACAGUGGGAGUCCCGAAGGAUCCGGAGAUCUUUUUUUUUUUUUUAAUUAAACUUCCAAUGUGAGAAAAGCGUAGAUUCAAAUGCAGUUGUUACAAGUAAUCCAGACAGAUGCCCUUCGCCCGGUUUCCCAACGGUAAGAAUGCGUAAGAGCAGCACAUCAUCACAGCCAGGAUACUGACAGGGAUACAGUCACAGAACACCCCUCACCACGAGGCCCCCUCCUGCGGCGAGGCCGGUGUUUGCACUGAAACUGGACAAGGUUUCACCAAGACGCAGCCACGCUCAGGGCCGGCAGGGGGUGACG
Orcinus orca (killer whale) is the source of this 1485-nucleotide long non-coding RNA. RefSeq lists it as uncharacterized. The transcript is spliced from 3 exons. The record is from RefSeq and is a predicted model, not a curated record. Lineage: Eukaryota; Metazoa; Chordata; Mammalia; Artiodactyla; Delphinidae.